UCAAUUUCAUAUUUUUGUCAAAGCCUUGCAAGAGGAUGAGCCUGAUGGAAAGGGACUAUACAUGAUUUAGGAUGUCGAUUUUCUACAACAGUUUUAUCUGCAGUUUUUACAAGACUUUUACAUUUAAGGACAGAGAGGAAGAAGAAUGUGCUGUCCAUCACUGUAAGCUAACAGUCCUCUUAACCGCCUCUCUAAACAAAUGUUUAAAAGAAAAAAGGGGAUAAAACACUGCAAUUCUGUGAGACAAGAGACACAUCAUGUAUGUCUGUGGAGCACAAAAAAACUCAUACUUGAUUUAGCAAAAAAUGACAACCAUUUAAAAUACAAUCUUCCUAGAAUUGUAACCUAAAAGCUCAUUCACAAACUAGCAAAAGGCUAAAGGGUUUGACGCCUGUCCUCUCCACCAGUGGAGUCUGAACUGCGAUGGGAUGAGCUGCUCUCCAUGGGGGAGCACCAUAUUCACACCACUGCUGACCUGAGACUUCCUUGUCAUCAGCAGGGGUGAAACACUGCAGCCCUUGUUCAGAGAGCAGCCAACAAGGAGAGGCCAUGGAAAGAACAGAGGGGCAGACAGAAGAGAGAGUGGAGAAAGAGAAGAAGACCUCCAGUAGGGAGAGAGGUAGUGCUUCCAGGGCAUAUGGUGUGUGUGUGCAUGAGUGUGAAAGAUAGAGCCAUGUGUCCAUAUGUGUUGCUGGGAGUGCCCGUGCUCUCGUUCCCCCAUCCAACCUCCCAACUCGUCGAUGCACAACAUGUCUGCUCGCUCCCUUUUCAUUUGAACACAUUUACUAGCCCCAAAUUUCACUUCAAUCUCACCUCAUCUCUCCAUACUACAUUAACCCCUGGCAAUUGCCUUCCAAAUGACCCCAUUAAGCCGUAAUUGCCUCAGCAGGCCCGCUCCCUCGCUUGUAAUUCUGUGCUGCUCGCCCACCAGACGUUCCCCCGGCAUUGUUUCAUGUUCUGGCUCCCAUCAGUGAGUUCAGAUGCUGACCCCCCCCGCCAUCGUGGCCGGAGCCACCGCUCCACUCACUGACCGCUAGCUAACAGUGGCACUGUCAGAUGACUACUACCCCCCCACGCCACAGUGAGCUCACACACACUGGAGGCACCAUGCAUUCACUUCCUCCUCAAUGACCAGACACACAACCGAUUUGAUUGACAACCUUGCAGAUGAUACAGGAGCCAUUCAUUGACGAUCAAUGACUCUGAAC
Oncorhynchus gorbuscha (pink salmon) is the source of this 1208-nucleotide long non-coding RNA. RefSeq lists it as uncharacterized. NCBI's taxonomy places the organism in Eukaryota, Metazoa, Chordata, Actinopteri, Salmoniformes, Salmonidae. The record is from RefSeq and is a predicted model, not a curated record. The transcript is spliced from 3 exons.